AGCUAUUCCUAUUCAUCACCUUCCAGGAUGAUAGAUCAGCAGAGAAGCUCUCUAACAAGUAUUCAGAUUCGGUGUCCUUUCUCACGACCAACCGACGAGAAGGGCUCCAGAGCAGGUGAUGGGGAAGUGCUUUGCUGAGAUAUGUAACUGCCACUGCUUGGAGUAAGAGGGGAGACCAAGACAUUUCCUUCAAUGCCAAAAGAAAGAUUUUGCAGUCAGGAACAUGGAUGUCAAGCAAAAAGGGC
Molecule: long non-coding RNA, 245 nt
Organism: Hemicordylus capensis (graceful crag lizard)
Lineage: Eukaryota; Metazoa; Chordata; Lepidosauria; Squamata; Cordylidae
Exons: 3
Source: RefSeq, a predicted model, not a curated record